AGAAUCAACGCUGGCGGCGUGCCUAACACAUGCAAGUCGAACGAGAAAGUGGAGCAAUCCAUGAGUAAAGUGGCGCACGGGUGAGUAACACGUGACUAACCUACCCUUGAGUGGGGGAUAACCUAGGGAAACCUGGGCUAAUACCGCAUAAUACCUUCGGGUCAAAGGAGCAAUUCGCUUAAGCGAGGGGGUCGCGGCCGAUUAGUUAGUUGGCGGGGUAAUGGCCCACCAAGACGAUGAUCGGUAUCCGGCCUGAGAGGGCGCACGGACACACUGGAACUGAAACACGGUCCAGACUCCUACGGGAGGCAGCAGUGGGGAAUUUGCGCAAUGGGGGAAACCCUGACGCAGCAACGCCGCGUGGAGGAUGAAGUCCCUUGGGACGUAAACUCCUUUCGAUCGGGACGAUUAUGACGGUACCGGAAGAAGAACGCCCCGGCUAACUUCGUGCCAGCCAGCCGC
Molecule: ribosomal RNA, 462 nt
Filed under: uncultured bacterium
Lineage: Bacteria
Description: SSU rRNA
Rfam family: Bacterial small subunit ribosomal RNA
Source: RNAcentral